UACAGAGGGUGCAAGCGUUAAUCGGAAUUACUGGGCGUAAAGCGUGCGUAGGCGGGCAUUUAAGUCGAUUGUGAAAUCCCCGGGCUUAACCUGGGAACUGCAGUCGAGACUGGAUGUCUAGAGUAUGGUAGAGGAAAGUGGAACUCCCGGUGUAGCGGUGAAAUGCGUAGAUAUCGGGAAGAACACCAGUGGCGAUGGCGGCUUUCUGGACCAAUACUGACGCUGAGGUACGAAAGCGUGGGGAGCAAACAGG
RNAcentral lists this ribosomal RNA (253 nucleotides) under uncultured bacterium. RNAcentral's name for it is "partial 16S ribosomal RNA". It matches the Rfam family "Bacterial small subunit ribosomal RNA", at positions 524 to 776 of the family's 1533-position model. The record is from RNAcentral.